RNAcentral lists this ribosomal RNA (252 nucleotides) under Lingulaulax polyedra. RNAcentral's name for it is "Lingulodinium polyedra partial Bacterial large subunit ribosomal RNA". It matches the Rfam family "Bacterial large subunit ribosomal RNA", at positions 177 to 478 of the family's 2925-position model. The record is from RNAcentral. Lineage: Eukaryota; Dinophyceae; Gonyaulacales; Lingulodiniaceae.
GAGCAAACCCGGGGAACUGAAACAUCUAAGUACCCGGAGGAAAGGACAUCAACCGAGACUCCGCUAGUAGUGGCGAGCGAACGCGGACCAGGCCAGUGGCUUGCAUUUAAGAACCGGAACCGUCUGGAAAGUCGGGCAUUAGUGGGUGAUAGCCCCGUACGGGUAGAAAUUAUGCAAGUCCUCGAGUAGGGCGGGACACGUGAAAUCCUGUCUGAACGUGGGGGGACCACCCUCCAAGCCUAAGUACUCCUU